This 120-nucleotide ribosomal RNA is filed under the name Monodelphis domestica (gray short-tailed opossum). The record is from RNAcentral. Lineage: Eukaryota; Metazoa; Chordata; Mammalia; Didelphimorphia; Didelphidae.
UUAAAGUUCUAUAUCAUCCUUAAUGUACCCGAGCUAGACUGAUCUUGGAGGCUAAGCAGAAUUAAGCCUGGUUAGUAACUUGAUUGGGAGAUCACCUAAGAGUACUGAGUGAUUUAUAAA